GUCCACGCCCUAAACGAUGAUAACUCGUUGUUGGCGAUACACAGUCAGCGACUAAGCGAAAGCAUUAAGUUAUCCACCUGGGGAGUACGACCGCAAGGUUGAAACUCAAAGGAAUUGACGGGGCCCGCACAAGCGGAGGAGCAUGUGGUUUAAUUCGAUGAUACGCGAGGAACCUUACCUGGGCUUGAAAGUUAGUGACAUUCUGUGAAAGCAGAACUUCCGCAAGGACACGAAACUAGGUGCUGCAUGGCUGUCGU
This 257-nucleotide ribosomal RNA is filed under the name uncultured bacterium. Its description in RNAcentral is "partial 16S ribosomal RNA". It matches the Rfam family "Bacterial small subunit ribosomal RNA", at positions 793 to 1055 of the family's 1533-position model. The record is from RNAcentral.